AACGAACGCUGGCGGCAUGCCUAACACAUGCAAGUCGAACGAGACCUUCGGGUCUAGGUGCGCACUGGUUCGUCACGCGUGGGAACCUGCCCUUAGGGUCGGAAUAACUCCCCGAAAGGGGUGCUAAUACCGGAUAAUGUCUUCUGACCAAUGAUUUAUCGCCUUUGGAUGGGCCCGCGUUGGAUUAGCUAGUUGGUAGGGUAAAAGCCUACCAAGGCUACGAUCCAUAGCUGGUCUGAGAGGAUGAUCAGCCACACUGGGACUGAGACACGGCCCAGACUCUUGAGGGAGGCAGAAGUGGGGAAUAUGGGACGAUGGGCGAGAGCCUGAUCCAGUAGUGCCGCGUGAGUGAGGAAGGCCUUAGGGUUGUAAAGCUCUUUGAACCGGGAUGAUAAUGACAGUACCGGGAGAAUAAGCGCCGGCUAACUCCGUG
This 433-nucleotide ribosomal RNA is filed under the name uncultured bacterium. RNAcentral's name for it is "partial 16S ribosomal RNA". It matches the Rfam family "Bacterial small subunit ribosomal RNA", at positions 29 to 507 of the family's 1533-position model. The record is from RNAcentral.